Molecule: long non-coding RNA, 3759 nt
Organism: Dreissena polymorpha
Lineage: Eukaryota; Metazoa; Mollusca; Bivalvia; Myida; Dreissenidae
Exons: 6
Source: RefSeq, a predicted model, not a curated record
AUAAGUUCAUUUACACGGUAAUGUUUGAGAGGUGCUUAAUAAGAUGCUGGAAUAUUUUUCUCCUUGUGUAAAACACAACACUGUUAACACAUUUACAAAAAUUACAAUUUUAUGUUUACCUGCUCGAUAUUACAUGCUUGAUAUAAUCCUGGCCCCGUGUUCACAAAACUUUUUACUGUCAUCGAAAAUCGAUUUUGCAUGACAUUGAAAAUCGUUGUCAAGUGACAUCGAUGACAAAGUUCGAGUUCACGAAGUUAUUUAAAAUUGAUGUCGUUCAACAUCGGUUUUAACGACAUCGAUUUUUUUCGACUUUUUGUGGACGUAAGCGGUAAAGCGGAAGUUGUUUUUUGUUGACGUCUGCUGCAACUACAAUGACUGCUCAGGUGCAUUGGUCUAUGUCGGAAAAAACCUUCGUGGUUCAACUGAUAAAUGAUCGGUACGACGAGUUAUAUUGUCGAUUUAAAGGUGCCACACUAGGUGGCAAAAAAAAGGAACAAACCUGGCAAGAGGUUGCUGAUACCUUCAAUAGCUCCAGUGUCGCACAAUGUUCUAGGACAGUGCGUCAAAUAAAAGACAUGUAUGCGCAGUUAAAAUGUCGAGCCAAAAAAAAAGAGUCUGACAGAAAAGAACUGGAGGGGGGCCUCCAGCUGUAUUAACCACCGUGGAAGACCUGGUCAUAGAUGGCAUCCGCGACAAGCCACAGCUGAUUGGCAUUCCGGGUGGCAUUGAUUCAGGCAUGGCUGAUGUUGCUGAGAUGGCAGACACUGAUGAAGCCUCAGCCAAGUGUACACUAACUGUUGCUGAGUGUACAUCAAAGCCUGCAACUGCCUCGAAUGUAGCCACUUCUUCAACAUCAAGACCAUCAAAAGAAUCGUUGAAAAAGAGAGAGAGAAACAGAUGCUAUGAAGAAGAGCUACUUGAGCUGGAAACAAGACGUGCACAGGCUGAGUUGGACCUGCUGUUGCAGAGGCAACAGCAGGAAAAACAGCUACAUGAUCUUAGAAUUAAGGUGAUCACAGAGGCUGCAGAGCAAGAGAGACAACUUUUUACUUUAAAAAAAGAGUUGUUAAACUCAAAUAUAAAGUCUGCAAUGGAUCAAGGCCUUCUUUUGUUUGAAUCUUAAACUUAACAUGUUCCUAGGGGCAUAUCGACUGCUAAUAGACAAGUUAAAUAGCUAUUAUUUGCAGAAACAGCUACAUAGGACUGAUUUAUGCAUGUUUUAUUAAUUAAAUGUAUAAAUAAUUUGUGACACUCAAAUAUGAAUAAGUGAAACACUACUUACCAUAAAUAAAGGACCAAGUUUGGUAAAUGAUGAAAGUGCUAUACUGAUGGGCAGCUGGUGUUCCACUUAUUCAUAUUUUAAUGUCAUACAUUAUUUAUACAUGUAAUUCACAUAGCAUGCAUGAAUCAGUCCUUUGUAGCUUUUGCUGCAAAUAAUAUCCAUUUAACUUGUUGUUAGCAGUCAAUAUGCCCCUUGAAACAUGUUUGACUCAAGAUAUAUUUGUGUCCGGUGAAAUAUUUAAAAUGCAUUUGUCUUUAGCAUUUAAGACACAUUUCUAGUUUCCAAUAUACCUGUUUAAAUGAAUAAUACUGUUGAUACGCCUAUUCUUUUGUUCUAACUUGUCUUUCUUGAUCUGCAGCCUCGGUGAUCCUUCUCUUAUCUUUUUGCUAUUGAUAUAAUACUUUGUUAGUUUAUCAUUAUGUGAAUGAAUCUUUGUUUAGUUAUCUUCAAAAUGACUGUGAAUGUUUUGUGAUCAGAUUCAUAGGUAAAACGUUUUUCGAUUAUUUUCUUAAGUUUGAGUCUUACAUUUUAGACUAAAAAAAGUUGGUGAAUCCAAACCCUGAUAAUUUCAUUAAUGAUUUUUUAUGCUCCCCUUUGAAGAAGAGGGGGUAUAUUGUUUUGCACAUGUCGGUCGGUCCGUCGGUCGGUCGGUCCGUCCAUCAUUUGGUUUCCGAAUUAUAAGUAAAGAGUGCUUAGGCCUAGUAUCAUAAAACUUCAUAGGUACAUUUAUCAUGAAUGGCAGAUAACCCCUAUUAAUUUUAAGGUCACCAGGUCAAAGGUCAAGGUCACAGUGACAUGAAAUAGUAAAAUAAUUUCCGGAAUGAUAACUCAAGAAUGCUUAGGCCUAGGAUCAUGAAACUUCAUAAGUAAAUUGAUCAUGACUGGCAGAUGAUCCUAUUAAUUUUCAGGUCACUUGGUCAAAGGUCAAGGUCACAGUGACUCAAAACAGUAAAAUGGUUUCAGGAUGAUAACUCAAGAAUAUUUAGGCCUAGGAUCAUGAAACUUCAUAGGAACAUUGAUCAUGACUGGCAGAUGACCCCUAUUGAUUUUCAGGUUAAAGGUCAAGAUCACAGUGACAAUAAAUGUAUGCACACAAUGGCUACCACUACAACUGACAGGCCAUAUGGGGGGCAUGCAUGUUUUGCAUACAGCCCUUGUUAUUAUAUAACUAUAUGUUUUUAAAAGAAAGAUUCUGCGAUGUGGUCUCUGUAACUGUUUCCAGACCCAUCUCCUUCAUAAACAACAUGUGGCUGAUCCGUGUCAUCCUCACAUGUUCGUGAAAACAUGUCUUGCCUCUCUAAUCCAAUGUUAUGAAGAAUGACACACGCGACUGUUAUUUUGGCUGCUCUGUCAGGUUUUACUCUAAGUCCAUAAUGUAGACAUGGAAACCUACGCUUGAGAACGCCAAAAGCUUGCUCGAUCACCACUCUUGUUCGACAUAAGGAUAUGUUAAACCGUUCCUGUAAAUGAAACAACAUACUAAUAAUAUUGCAAUCAUUCCACUAAAUGUUAAGAACUAAUGCUAGUUUGGUGACAUUGCUUUAUGCCUGUAAGUAAAUAUUAAACCUUUUCAUGAUGAUUAGUAUUUAUGCCCCCCUUCGAAGAAGAGGGGGUAUAUUGCUUUGCUCAUGUCGGUCUUUCGGUCGGUCUGUCGGUCGGUCCGUCCACCAGGUGGUUGUCAGACGAUAACUCAAGAACGCUUGUGCCUAGGAUCAUGAAACUUCAUAGGUACAUUGAUCAUGACUAGCAGAUGACCCCUAUUGAUUUUGAGGUCACUAGGUCAAAGGUCAAGGUCACAGUGACCUGAAAUAGUAAAAUGGUUUCCGGAUGAUAACUCAAGAACGCAUACGCCUAGGAUCAUGAAACUUCAUAGGUAGAUUGAUCAUGACUUGCAGGUGACCCCUAUUGAUUUUGAGGUCACAAGGUCAAGGUCACGGUGACCCGAAAUAGUAAAAUGAUAUUCGGAUGAUAACUCAAGAACACUUUUGCCUAGGAUCAUGACACUUCAUAGGUACAUUGAUCAUGACUCGCAGAUGACCCCUAUUGACUUUCAGGUCACUAGGUCAAAGGUCAAGGUCACAGUGACAAAAACGUAUUCACACAAUGGCUGCCACUACAACGGACAGCCCAUAUGGGGGGCAUGCAUGUUUUACAAACAGUCCUUGUUUUGUUUAAUCUAAGGUUAACAAAAUUUAAUUCUGAAUAUAUGUUACAUUGUUUUUAAGAUCCAUUUAAUAACUAUACCUUACAAGGACUGUCAGUGUUUUGAUAUGGUGUCAUAAGAUACCUCUUGCAUCCAUAGCCAGAGUCACCAAGCAGAAGACCGUCGAUUUCACCUGUUAUAAAAAAAAAAGAUCAUUUUGCAGCACUGUAAUGUCAAACAACGAUAUCAAGCAGUGUAUUGUUUAAUGCAUGCAAGUUUAUGACAUAGUUAUAACGUUAUUAAUGUAAUAUGUUGUUGUUUAUGUUACAUUUAA